RNAcentral lists this unclassified non-coding RNA (171 nucleotides) under uncultured Lecanoromycetes. Its description in RNAcentral is "sequence contains ITS1". Lineage: Eukaryota; Fungi; Ascomycota; Lecanoromycetes. The record is from RNAcentral.
ACGAGUUUAGGGGCCUCGCCCCGAACCUCCAACCCAUGCGAACCUUACCACCGUUGCUUUGGCGGGCCCGCGGGUCCAACUGCCGCCGGCCCUACCGCCGGCGAGCGCCCGCCAGAGUCCAUCCAAAAUUCGUUUGAUCGGGUGACGUCUGAGAAAAUAUUUAAUGGCAAA